Molecule: ribosomal RNA, 465 nt
Filed under: Vreelandella stevensii
Lineage: Bacteria; Pseudomonadati; Pseudomonadota; Gammaproteobacteria; Oceanospirillales; Halomonadaceae
Description: partial 16S ribosomal RNA
Rfam family: Bacterial small subunit ribosomal RNA
Source: RNAcentral
CCUACGGGCGGCAGCAGUGGGGAAUAUUGGACAAUGGGCGAAAGCCUGAUCCAGCCAUGCCGCGUGUGUGAAGAAGGCCUUCGGGUUGUAAAGCACUUUCAGUGGGGAAGAAAGCCUUGGGGCUAAUACCCUCGAGGAAGGACAUCACCCACAGAAGAAGCACCGGCUAACUCCGUGCCAGCAGCCGCGGUAAUACGGAGGGUGUGAGCGUUAAUCGGAAUUACUGGGCGUAAAGCGCGCGUAGGCGGUCUGAUAAGCCGGUUGUGAAAGCCCCGGGCUCAACCUGGGAACGGCAUCCGGAACUGUCAGGCUAGAGUGCAGGAGAGGAAGGUAGAAUUCCCGGUGUAGCGGUGAAAUGCGUAGAGAUCGGGAGGAAUACCAGUGGCGAAGGCGGCCUUCUGGACUGACACUGACGCUGAGGUGCGAAAGCGUGGGUAGCAAACAGGAUUAGAUACCCCUGUAGUC